UACGUAGGGUGCAGGCGUUAUUCGGAAUUACUGGGCGUAAAGGGCGCGUAGGCGGUUUGACCAGUCAGGUGUGAAAUUCCCGGGCUUAACCUGGGGGCUGCACUUGAUACUGUCAGGCUUGAAUUCGGGAGAGGAUAGCGGAAUUCCCAGUGUAGAGGUGAAAUUCGUAGAUAUUGGGAAGAACACCGGUGGCGAAGGCGGCUAUCUGGACCGACAUUGACGCUGAGGCGCGAAAGCCAGGGGAGCAAACGGG
RNAcentral lists this ribosomal RNA (253 nucleotides) under uncultured bacterium. RNAcentral describes it as "partial 16S ribosomal RNA". It matches the Rfam family "Bacterial small subunit ribosomal RNA", at positions 524 to 776 of the family's 1533-position model. The record is from RNAcentral.